ACAGGUUCUUGCUCAGGAGCUCUGACUGAGGAUGGUCUGAGAGAUGGGGCACAACUUUCCAGUUCUUUGUCUAGGCUAUUUUUAAGAGACCCUAGGCUGAUGUACUGAACAAACCUGUGAGACAACACAGGGAAGAAAAUACUCUCCCUAAUGGAGAAGCAAGUAAAGCACGGAGAACAGAAAAGCUGUGAGCUACGUCAUAUGUGAAGCCAAGAAGUGAACCCAGACCUGAGCUCCAUGAUGGUGCCUCACCACAAACCCAAGUGCCUUCGCUGUACACCAGGUUACAAUAGAUCUUUGUGGCUCAGCAGAAGCUACAGUCAGAGGUGAAGGACAUGGCAUAAAAUGAACAUGAGUUACAUGCACUGAAUGCAGGCAGCUCUUGGACAAGCUACCAAAAAGUUCACACUGCUACCAAAGCAGAGAAUAUUCCUCUGAGAAGUACUGAACUUACACGAGCGGGAGAAAGUCUGCAGCAAGCUGAAUUGCCAAAGAUAAAUUAGACACUCUAGCCAAAAGAAAACAGAGCUGACAACAACAACAGAUGGGAAGAGGAGGGAAGGAGAACAGGAACACAGCAAGAAGACAUGAACCAUAAGGAAAAAAGCAUUCUAGUCUGUGGGAAGGCCUAGGUAACCAGUUAAUUACUCAUUAAGCGUGUACAACUAGGCUCCCUAACAGAAUGCAGGCACGCAGUUUUGACCUCUGAAGUCAAGAAGCCUUUUGCAGAUGUUGAAUUUUAGAUGGAAAGACUAAAGCUAUUUAACAAGUGGAAAACUUCAGUGCAGAGCAAAGACAAUCCAAGUACUUCUGGAAGAUGCCCACUGGAGAGGAAAAACGGAACCUCAGCAAAAACUCGGCCUUCAGCCAAAGGGAAUGCAGACUCAUGCCAUACUUCCCAGCAAAGAAAAAAGAAAUCUCUCUACUGCAGUUCACAGAGAUCUUCCACCUGAAGUAUGAAAGCAAAGAAAGACCCUCACUCAUAGAUGUUAAAGGCCAACAGCAAGACAACAGAGCAUUACUUGCCAGGAAAAGGAAAGCAGCAUUCUAGAACACAACCCUUAAUAAACGUGUAAUCAAGCUCAAGUAAUCAUGCCUGUGCUCCAAUAUAAUGAAAUGGCUACAGUGUAUUGCAGGUUCAGUUUGCCAAAUGCUGCACUUCUUCAGAGUAAGUAAAUGACAACACCUUUGCUAUCAUUUCAAACUGUUUCCCAAACUGAUCACCAACAGCUAUACAUUCUCUAUUAUAUUGGCUGUAAAAAGAGUUUUUAUGGCUUUCAAAAGGGUUUUCCAGUUUGGAAAAGAUACCAUCAAACCUAGAAAAGACCCGUCUUUUGUCUUGCUGGACUGGAGGAGCAUUUGUAAAACAAACUACACUAGUGCAUCCUGUGAGAUGCUCAGCAGCUUCAUCAGUCACAGGCCCAGGCCCUGUGCAUUCUGCAUCAUCAGGAGCAAACAGCAGGAGUUCUUUGUCUCCAAGAUCAGAGUUAAGACAACUGUUCUCUUUUAAGUUGUGAAUGAAUGUUGUAAGAGCAGAAGUAGAGGUAGUAUUAGACCCUAAUAAGCAAUACCAGUUCAUUCACAUUGCUAAUGCAAAUCAGUAUGAAUGUUAAUAAUGUUUCUAUUUGGAAUCUUAAUACUACAGAAACAAGUAUCUUGGUACAGCAUACAUUUUCUUUUUUCUGAGAAAGAAAACUAACUUAUGUUAACUUAGUGUUCCAGGAUAUUUUUAUUUUAAUCAUAAUCUUUUUUUACCUACAUAGAACUUUCAAUAACUGUAUAUUUCUCUUUCAUUGUUUUCCUGUACUACUACAACUCAAAACAGAAAAAAAACACCAUUUCCCAUC
Long non-coding RNA from Anas platyrhynchos (mallard), 1847 nucleotides. RefSeq lists it as uncharacterized. The record is from RefSeq and is a predicted model, not a curated record. NCBI's taxonomy places the organism in Eukaryota, Metazoa, Chordata, Aves, Anseriformes, Anatidae.